GCCCAGAUAGCUCAGUCGGUAGAGCAGAGGACUGAAAAUCCUCGUGUCGGCGGUUCGAUUCCACCUCUGGGCA
This 73-nucleotide transfer RNA is filed under the name Clostridia bacterium. RNAcentral describes it as "tRNA-Phe". It matches the Rfam family "tRNA". From Rfam's summary of the family: Transfer RNA (tRNA) molecules are approximately 80 nucleotides in length. Their secondary structure includes four short double-helical elements and three loops (D, anti-codon, and T loops). RNAcentral also lists the same sequence under 1 other name. Lineage: Bacteria; Bacillati; Bacillota; Clostridia. The record is from RNAcentral.